Non-coding RNA from Schistosoma margrebowiei, 45 nucleotides. The record is from Rfam. NCBI's taxonomy places the organism in Eukaryota, Metazoa, Platyhelminthes, Trematoda, Strigeidida, Schistosomatidae.
AUCCAUCUGACGAGUUUAAAAUAGGACAAAACGUGCGUCCUGGAC